RNAcentral lists this long non-coding RNA (915 nucleotides) under Homo sapiens (human). RNAcentral describes it as "long independently transcribed non-coding RNA 2144 (LINC02144)". Lineage: Eukaryota; Metazoa; Chordata; Mammalia; Primates; Hominidae. The record is from RNAcentral.
AGUGCAAUAAAGAAAGAUGUUAAAACAGAGUCGAGAUAGGGGAAUAAUGUUUAAUUGGCUCUCCAGAGUCCACUAAUUUUCAGAAUUGGAAACCUAGUGUUUGAUUUGUUCUUUUUAGUCAGCGAGAAGAAAAAAUAUCCUUCAUAAAUUCUGAAUGACAAAUUUGCCCAUCCUUUUUUGCAUGUGGUUCCAGCAUCCCAGGGAAUCUAAAGUGUCAUUUCCUCUCUGGAAGAAAGGAAGCACAAAACAUGCUAGGACAAAAUUGGAGAAACUGAUUAUUUUACCCAGGCUUUGACUGGAAUGGCAUGAUUCCUUUAAAAAAUUCAAGCUUGACUUAUACAGCCAAUUAAGCCCUGUUGGGGAAUCUGGUCUCAUACCUUGUCCACACAGAGUCCUUGUACAAGUUUCCCGACCUGUGAAAGAAGAAAGAGCUUUAACAGACAUUUGAUAAUGAAUUGUUACUUCUUACUCAUGUUUAUAUAUAAACUCUUGACUGUCAAUGCUAUAAAAGACAAUUCAAAAGGAAGAAAUGCAGUUAUAUUGAAACACCAUUCAAAACAUCACAACAAGAAAUGCAGUCUACUAUAAACUGAGUAAAUAGAAAGAUAUACAGUAGUACUGAGGCUACUACCAGGAGAAGGCAAUAUUGGUACUGAACAAAAAAGAGUUUCUUCACACUGAAGUACAGCACAGUUGAGAAGCAUGAAAUAAAGACGUUUUCUAGACUCCAAUUCUAUCAUUUCCAUGAGAAGUCCUGGAAGCCGUCUCCCACAGAUACCAAGAGACCACUGUAUAUCCAGAAGUGUGACUACUGUGUAAUAUGAAGUUAUAACUUUAAUUUCUUCAGGAACCACCAUACUGCUUUCCACAGCAGGUUUAAACAGUAUCCAUUCAGAACAAUGACAAGAAAGCUUU